CUCAGCUGCUUUGACUUUUCUGAGCUUAUUAUUGCGCGGCGCGACUAAAAUUCGUGUCUACAAGUUAAAGAUUAGCAUGGCCGAACAAACACUCAUCAUGAAUAAUAUAUUCUAUCCAUGUUUCGGGCCAAUACAAGUUCCAAAACUAAGUCGACAAUUAUAGUUAUACUUUAAGAUGCUACAUGUUGUAGUAUGACAUACUAAGUUAAUUAAGGGAGAUAGGUAACUCAGUGCUUUAUGACCAUCCACUACAAGAAAACAACACUUUGGCGAGGAAAAUUAACGAGGAAAUAAAAUCCUCGUAAAAUUACGCCGACUUUACGAGGAAACUACAAAGAAAGAACAAAACGUCGUUAUUUCCUCGUAAAGUAACGAAGAAAACAUUUCCUCGUUAAAACAACGUAAAGUUACGUGGUUUUAACGAGGAAAUUCUCUUUCCUCGUUAAAACCACGUAAAGCUUGCAUCAUCUUUACGAGGAAAUGAGGAAAUAGAGUUUCCUCGUAAACACAACGUAAAUUCACGUCUUCUUUACGAGGAAAUGUUUUACGUGAUUUUAACAAGGAAUACUAAAGCACAUUUUUUUUUGCUACCUACCUAUUCCUCGCAAAUUCCUCGCAAAACUUCAACUACCAGAUUCAAAAAAUUUCUAUAAAUAUGGAAGUUUCAACAUCAUUUUAAACACACCAAUAUUGAGGUUUGAGGUUUGGAAUGAAGAGUAGAAGAUAAGAAAGAUGGUGUUUGUGGUUUGGGGUUUUAGAUUUUAAGCGUUUAGAAAGCAUACCUUGUUAAUUCCUCGUAUUUAACGAGGAAAUAACGAUGAAAAAAAAAAUGCGAGCCUCGUUAAUUCCACGUAAGACGAAAUCGUCGUAAAGGCCUCGUAAGCUUACGUGGAAUUACCGAGGCCCGUUGUUUAUUUCCUCGUAAUUUCCUCGUGGGUUUACGAGGUUUUAACGAGAUAUUUUGUCUAAACCCCUAAACCCUAAACCCCAAACCCUAUCUUUCUUCUAUUUUGUCUAAAUCCCAAACUCCAAACCCCAUUAAUAAUUUUAUAAUUUUCAAAAGAUUAUAUUUUCAAAUCUUCAAAAGAUUGUAUUUUUGUUGCAAAAUAAAUAAUUUGAUUUUGUAUAAGUUUAUAUUAGAAAGAAGAGAUUGAUAUUAGAAGUUAAAGAAUUGUGGUUUUAAAUUUUGAGUUUUGAAAUUUGGAAUGAAGAGUAGAAGAUAAGAAAGAUGGUGUUUGUGGUUUGGGGUUUUAGAUUUUAGGCGUUUAGAAAGCAUACCUCGUUAGUUCCUCGUAGUUAACGAGGAAAUAACGAUGAAAAAAAAUGCGAGCCUCGUUAAUUCCACGUAAGACGAAAUCGUCGUAAAGGCCUCGUAAGCUUACGUGGAAUUACCGAGGCCCGUCGUUUAUUUCCUUGUAAUUUCCUCGUGGAUUUACGAGGUUUUAACGAGAUAUUUUGUCUAAACCCCUAAACCCUAAACCCCAAACCCCAUCUUUCUUCUAUUUCGUCUAAAGCCCAAACUCCAAAUCCCAUUAAUAAUUUUAUAAUUUUCAAAAGAUUAUAUUUUCAAAUCUUCAAAAGAUUAUAUUUUUGUUGCAAAAUAAAUAAUUUGACUUUGUAUAAGUUUAUAUUAGAAAGAAGAGAUUGAUAUUAGAAGUUAAAGAAUUGUGGUUUUAAAUUUUGAGUUUUGAAAUUUGGAAUGAAGAGUAGAAGAUAAGAAAGAUGGUGUUUGUGGUUUGGGGUUUUAGAUUUUAGGCGUUUAGAAAGCAUACCUUGUUGAUUCCUCGUAGUUAACGAGGAAAUAACGACAAAAAAAAAUGUGAACCUCGUUAAUUCCACGUAAGAUGAAAUCGUCGUAAAGGCCUCGUAAGCUUACGUGGAAUUACCGAGACCCGUCUUUUAUUUCCUCGUAAUUUCCUCGUAGGUUUACGAGGUUUUAACGAGAUAUUUUGUCUAAACCCCUAAACCAACCCCAAACCCCAUCUUUCUUCUAUUUUGUCUAAAUCCCAAACUCCAAACCCCAUUAAUAAUUUUAUAAUUUUCAAAAGAUUAUAUUUUCAAACCUUCAAAAGAUUAUAAUUUUGUUGCAAAAUAAAUAAUUUGAUUUUGUAUAAGUUUAUAUUAGAAAGAAGAGAUUGAUAUUAGAAGUUAAAGAAUUGUGGUUUUAAAUUUUGAGUUUUGAAAUUUGGAAUGAAGAGUAGAAGAUAAGAAAGAUGGUGUUUGUGGUUUGGGAUUUUAGAUUUUCGGCGUUUAGAAAGCAUACCUCGUUAAUUCCUCGUAGUUAACGAGGAAAUAACAACGGAAAAAAAAAAUGCGAGCCUCGUUAAUUCCACGUAAGACGAAAUCGUCGUAUAUGCCUCGUAAGCUUACGUGGAAUUACCGAGGCCCGUCUUUUAUUUCCUCGUAAUUUCCUCGUGGGUUUACGAGGUUUUAACGAGAUAUUUUGUCUAAACCCCUAAACCAUAAACCCCAAACUCCAUCUUUCUUCUAUUUUGUCUAAAUCCCAAACUCCAAACCCCAUUAAUAAUUUUAUAAUUUUCAAAAGAUUAUAUUUUCAAAUCUUCAAAAGAUUAUAUUUUUGUUUCAAAAUAAAUAAUUUGAUUUUGUAUAAGUUUAUAUUAGAAAAAAGAGAUUGAUAUUAGAAGUUAAAGAAUUGUGGUUUUAAAAUUUGAGUUUUGAAAUGUUAAGAAGAUUAUAUUUUCAAAUCUUCAAAAGAUUAUAUUUUUGUUGCAAAAUAGAAAAUUUAAAUAAAUAAUUUGAUUUUGUAUAAGUUUAUAUUAGAAAGAAGAGAUUGAUAUUAGAAGUUAAAGAAUUGUGGUUUUAAAUUUUGAGUUUUGAAAUGUUAAGAAGAUAUUGAGGUUAAAAGGAAGAUAUGUUUGUAAUAUAUGAAGUAGAAUAUAAGAAAGAUGGGGUUUAGGGUUUGGGGUUUGGGGUUUCUGAUUUUAGAGGUUUAGAAAUUUACCUCGUUAAAAACUCGUAAUUUACGAGGCAUUUACGAGGACCAGAAAGACGGGCCUCGCUUAUUCGUCGUUGGAUUUAGGACGGGCCUCGCAAUUUCCUCGUAAGUUUACGAGGAUUUUACGAGGAAAUAAAAGACGGGCCUCAUUAAUUCUUCGUAAAUCUACAAGAAAAUUGCGACGCCUUCGUAAGUUAUAUAUACAACCCAAACCUCACAAUCUCCAUUCGUCCCAACUUCCUCUCCAAUUCCUCUCCAUUUCCUCUCCAACUCCUCUCCCAUUCCUCUCUCCUUCGAAAUGGUUCGCAAGAACAUGCUUACUGCUCACUACAGAGACAUGUUCGGUGAGUCUGGUAGUCAGUUAGACUCUCCAGGUUCUUCUUCAGGUGCCGGCGGUUCCGUGUGAGUGGACUCGAGGCCUUCAUCGACGUUAUAGCGGCCACAAAUCCGGAAUGGGAAACUUUAUUGAGGAACAUGAAACAACAAAAUCUCAUUCCAGACGAGUCAUCGGGCACACAUGACGAGGAGGAGCAAGGAAUUCUACGAGGCGAUGAACGGGCCUUAGUUUUUUUCGGUUUAUGUAUUAUAAAAUCCAAAACUUAUUUAUAUAUAAAAUAUUUUGUUGCA
Molecule: long non-coding RNA, 3583 nt
Organism: Raphanus sativus (radish)
Lineage: Eukaryota; Viridiplantae; Streptophyta; Magnoliopsida; Brassicales; Brassicaceae
Exons: 2
Source: RefSeq, a predicted model, not a curated record